This is a long non-coding RNA of Brassica napus (rape), 1365 nucleotides long. RefSeq lists it as uncharacterized. The record is from RefSeq and is a predicted model, not a curated record. Lineage: Eukaryota; Viridiplantae; Streptophyta; Magnoliopsida; Brassicales; Brassicaceae. The transcript has 7 exons.
GACUCACCGUUUGAUUUUCACUCCACUGACGGGCUUUCCUAGGGUUCCGUUUCGUCUCCUUUUCGAUUUUCGAUUUCAGUUAGCGCUGUACGGAGCAUGGAGAAAACUCCGACGGAGAUUGUCUCCGAGAUGGGUUCUCGUUUGCUUCAGUCAUCUCGUCCGAACAAGGGCUCCCUUGUGAAAUCACUUCGGGAAGCUGCUACUACUCUCUCACAAAUCGAGCAGCCUUUAGUCACCGAAACUGUGAGCAAGAAGAAAGCUCUGAAGCUGCUUGAAGCUGAGCUUAGACCGCUGAAGAAAUCCAUCAUCAAGCAUGACCUUCUUAAGAAUCGUGAUAACGACGUGAGUCUAUUAGUCACUGUCUGUGUCAGUGAGAUUUUUCGGAUUCUGGCACCUGAGCCCUUUUGAAGACAAGUAUCUCAGGGAUAUCUUCAACCUCUUUCUAGCUGAGUUCUCUGAGCUCUCUGAUACUGUAAGCCCUUAUUUCUCGAGAAGGGCAAAGAUCUUGGAAACAGUUUCUCGAUGUAAAUGCUCUCUGCUAAUGCUGGACGUGGACUGCCAUGACUUAAUUCACGAGAUGUUUAACACGUUUUUCUCUGUUGUAAGAGAUCACUAUCACCAGAAUUUAGCUCAUCAGAAAAACGCUAAAGUGCAGCAGCGAAAGGCUAACACGCAGCAAGCGCGACAAAGUUUAUUUAAUGACAUUCUAACGAUAAUGACUGAUAUUCUGAAAGAAGAGGCAAGUUCGUCACUUGUCGGUGUUAUCUUGAAAAUCUUGUGAAGGAGGGAAAGGAUGCGACUCCUGCUGCUAAUAACCUUGCGAGUUCUCUCAUUAAAAUGUACCGACACGCUUGAGCCGUUAAUUUGCAGUUUUCUAACAUCCUGUUUUAUGGAGAAAGAUUCUAUCCAGUCCAAUCUCAAAGAUUCUUACCACGAAAUCAUAUUCAUGAUCUCCUUAAAUGCUCCCCAGAUACUGCUAGCAAUUAUCCCGAACUUGACCCAGGAACUACUGACUGAUCAGGUUGAUGUGAGAAUAAAAGCUCUGAACUUAGCUGGAAGGAUUUUUGCACAGCCUAACCACUGUUCCGGGGAGAUAUAUCGAGAUCUUUUUGUAGAGUUCUUGAGAAGAUUCUCAGAUAAAUCUGCAGAAGUCAGAAUGGCUGCAUUGAAAUGCGGGAAGCAGUGUUACUUGGCGAAUCCCUCUGGAAAUAAAGCAUCUGGAGUUCUCACUGCCAUUCAGAGCGCCUAUUAGAUUUCGAUGAUAGGGUUAGAACACAGGCUUUGGUUGUUGCUUGUGAUAUAAUGAAGUCUAAUAUGACGUAUGCUCCUUUAAUCUGAUCUCUGAGGCCACUGAGAGACUUCGGG